This 558-nucleotide long non-coding RNA is filed under the name Carica papaya (papaya). Its description in RNAcentral is "long non-coding RNA (CPAP_LNC011963)". The record is from RNAcentral. Lineage: Eukaryota; Viridiplantae; Streptophyta; Magnoliopsida; Brassicales; Caricaceae.
UAGAAGAAAAUUUGGGAUAAAAUUAAGAAAAAUUGAUAGAUAUAUAGAGAAGUCUAUAACGGUUUGCUAUUUAGGGCUUGUGGGCUUAAGUGGGCCUAAAGGGGUCUAAUGGGCUCUAUUUCAGCUCAAUUUUUGAGUUAAAUGGAAAAAUUGAUGGAUAAGGAUGAGGAAGCAAAUGGAAGAUUGUGAAAGAAUCUAGAAUAAGAAUGAAAUAACAUGAUGAAAGAUGAUAACUUUUUAGAUUAAAUGGUAUCAUGAGAAGUGAUAACGUUUAGAUAAAGUGACUUAACGAAAUGUGGCAACCUUUUGAUGAAGUUGCAUGGUGGAAGGUUUUUUCUCUCGUGGCUCCCCAAUCCUAUAAAUAGGAGAAGGGGAAAUGGAGGUAGAGAUGUUGUGGAUGAGAGAAAAAUAGUGAGCAGCAUAGAGACGAAGGAAGAAGAUGGAGUAUGAAGUGUAUGAUUUUUUGAGAGUAUUGUGAGGAUUAUAGAUAAAAACCUUGAAGAAACUCUCCUUGCAUGCUUUAAUUAUGACAAACCAAGUGAAGGACAAACAAAAAAU